Molecule: ribosomal RNA, 1468 nt
Filed under: Candidatus Giovannonibacteria bacterium RIFOXYD1_FULL_48_21
Lineage: Bacteria; Candidatus Giovannoniibacteriota
Description: bacterial SSU rRNA
Rfam family: Bacterial small subunit ribosomal RNA
Source: RNAcentral
AGGGUUUGAUCCUGGCCCAGGAUGAACGCUGGCGGCGUGGAUAAUGCAUGCAAGUCGAACGAAAUAUAUUAAUUUAAUAUGUUUAGUGGCAGACGGGGUAGUAACACGUAGGAACUUACCCCAGAGACGGAUAUAAUCCGCCGAAAGGCGGACUAAUUCCCGAUAGUCUCCGAGCGCAAGCGAGGAGUAAAACACUUAGAUUGGCUCUGGGAGAGGCCUGCGGGCUAUCAGCUUGUUGGCGAGGUAAUGGCUCACCAAGGCUACGACGGCUAGGGGGCGUGAGAGCGCGACCCCCACCAAUGGAACUGCGACACGGUCCAUACACCUACGGGUGGCAGCAGUAGAGAAUAUUGGACAAUGGGCGAAAGCCUGAUCCAGCGACGCCGCGUGCGGGAGGAAGUCCUUCGGGACGUAAACCGCUUUUAGAGGGGAGAAACGCAAGUGAUAGUACCCUCUGAAUAAGGGCUUGCUAACCUCGUGCCAGCAGCCGCGGUAAGACGAGGAGCCCGAGCGUUAUCCGGAUUUACUGGGCGUAAAGGGUGUGUAGGGGGCACGGUUAGUCCCGGCUUAAAUUUUCUCGCUCAACGAGAAAGGUGGCCGGGAAACGGCCGAGCUUUUGAGGGUGUCAGAGGCAGAUGGAACUCUAGGUGUAGGGGUGAAAUCCGUUGAUAUCUAGGGGAACACCAAAGGCGAAGGCAAUCUGCUGGGGCAUUCCUGACCCUGAAACACGAAAGCGUGGGGAUCAAAAAGGAUUAGAUACCCUUGUAGUCCACGCCCUAAACGAUGCACGCUAGGCAUCCGAAGUAUCGACCCUUCGGGAGCCGUAAGCUAACGCGUUAAGCGUGCCGCCUGGGAAGUACGAUCGCAAGAUUAAAACUCAAAGGAAUAGACGGGGACUCGCACAAGCGGUGGAGCAUGUGGUUCAAUUCGAUGCUAAACGAAGAACCUUACCAGGGCUUGAAAUGCCGGCGGAAGUUUCGCCGAAAGGCGGGCGUCUCACAAGGACCACCGGCACAGGUGAUGCAUGGCUGUCGUCAGUUCGUGGCUUGAGUUGUUCCCUUAAGUGGGGUAACGAACGCAACCCUUAUCUCGCGUUACAAGUGUCGCGAGAGACUGCCUCGGUAUACGGGGAGGAAGGCGAGGAUGACGCCAAGUCCGCAUGUCCCUCUGAUGCCCUGGGCUACACACGUGCUACAAUGCCCGCCACAAUGGGUCGCGAAGCCGCGAGGCAGAGCUAACCCCAUCAAAAGCGGGCCCAGUUCGGAUUGGAGUCUGCAACCCGACUCCAUGAAGUUGGAAUCGCUAGUAAUCGCAGGUCAGCUAUACUGCGGUGAAUACGUUCUCGAGUCUUGUACUCACCGCCCGUCAAUGCAGGGAAGCCGGGAGUACCCGAAUCCCGCUUAUAGCGGGAGAAGGUAAGCUCGGUGACAAAGCAUAAGUCGUAACAAGGCACGGCUAGCGGAAGCUG